This 253-nucleotide ribosomal RNA is filed under the name uncultured bacterium. Its description in RNAcentral is "partial 16S ribosomal RNA". It matches the Rfam family "Bacterial small subunit ribosomal RNA", at positions 524 to 776 of the family's 1533-position model. The record is from RNAcentral.
UACGUAGGGUGCGAGCGUUAAUCGGAAUUACUGGGCGUAAAGCGUGCGCAGGCGGUUUUUUAAGCCAGAUGUGAAAUCCCCGGGCUUAACCUGGGAACUGCCUUUGGAACUGGAAGACUAGAGUACGGCAGAGGGGGGUGGAAUUCCACGUGUAGCAGUGAAAUGCGUAGAGAUGUGGAGGAACACCGAUGGCGAAGGCAGCCCCCUGGGCUAACACUGACGUUCAGGCACGAAAGCGUGGGGAGCAAACAGG